RNAcentral lists this long non-coding RNA (602 nucleotides) under Mus pahari (shrew mouse). RNAcentral describes it as "lncRNA (MGP_PahariEiJ_G0003826.1)". Lineage: Eukaryota; Metazoa; Chordata; Mammalia; Rodentia; Muridae. The record is from RNAcentral.
ACCGAAGCGUUGGCGUGGGGCCCGCCGGGCGGCGCUGGCAGCCUCGUCUCCUGAGGGGACGUUUCUGUUUGGGCCGCCCCUGUGCGAGCUGCCUAGCCUAAGGACACCGAGUUUUCCUUAGAAGCAACCGUGGGACACACCCCUCUGUAGAGAAAGAAGACCAACAAGAUACUCAUUCUGCACUUGGGAGAUGUAGGAUGUGCUAAUGUUUUGUAAAGAUGAAUAAAGGAAGAGCUACAGUAGCAGGCAUGGUGUUCCGUGCUUGUAAUCCCAGCAACCUGGAGCUUGAGGAGGAAAGCUUGAGGGUCCAAAGCAUCUUGGGCUACAUAGUGAGACUCUGUCUCAAAUGGAAUCUGAAAACUGAACUAAUUAAGUAUUGAGCCAAAAGCACAGCUAAGAAAGCAAUUCCCAAGCUCCAUGUUUUAUAUGUGCGACCUAAGUGGAUUUUCUCCAUACUUCAAGGAAAAAGUAAGGCGAUCACAGGAGUGCUAAAGUGGAGGUCCUUUGUAUUUGAAUUAUUUCAUUGAAAUAAGAUCAUGCUUAAAAAGCCUCUUUAAAACUAAGGUGAUGUUUUCAAAAAUAAAGAUCACAUAGUGGUUGCC